Long non-coding RNA from Vitis vinifera (wine grape), 833 nucleotides. RefSeq lists it as uncharacterized. The transcript has 2 exons. NCBI's taxonomy places the organism in Eukaryota, Viridiplantae, Streptophyta, Magnoliopsida, Vitales, Vitaceae. The record is from RefSeq and is a predicted model, not a curated record.
AUUUGUUAUAAAGUCUCCAUUGAAAACCCUAACUUUUGGAAGACAAGAAAGAAGGGAGAGAGCCACGGUUUUUAGUGAGAAAGAAGAGAAGAGAGAAAAACACAAGUUUUUCUCAUCAUGCCCAGAUUUCAUCAAAGGUCCGAUCCCACUUCGUCCAUGGUCCGAUUGAGCUGAAAUUUGGAGGAGAGUUUCGUGACUCAUUUAUCUUCAAUCUGAACGGUGAAGAUCUGAUUUGGAGUUUCGGAAAGUCAUUAUAAAGAGAGAGGAGAAGAGAGAAAAACGCAGGUUUUUCUCAUCAUGCCCAGAUUUCAUCAAAUGUCCGAUCCUGCUUCAUCCGUGGUCCGAUCGAGUUGAAAUUUGAAGGAGCGGUUCGUGGCUCAUGUAUCUUCAAUAUAACGGUGGAGAUCGGAUUUGGAGUUUUGGACAGUCAUUAGAGAGAAAGAGGAGAAGAGAGAAAAACAGUGGUUUUUUACAUCAUGCCCAGAUUUCAUCAAAGGUCCGAUGCCGCUUUGUUCAUGGUCUGAUUGAGCUGAAAUUUGGAGGAGAGGUUCAUAAGUCAUUAAUCUUAAAUUUGAACGGUGAAGAUCGGAUUUGAACGGUUUCAAAGGAAAUUGAUUGGCCAAAAGACAAGAAGUCAUAAUGUUGAAGGAGGUAGUGAUGCCGAAAAUCAUGAAGAUUACAUCAAAGUCAUUUGGAGGAUGAUCUUAUUUUUUAUAGAAUAUAGAUCUUAAUAGUUGUUGCACUAAUAUUUGUUCUUUUGUAGAAUUAGAAAUUGUUAUUGAAAUAUUUUGAUAUAAUUAAUAAAUUUGUAUGUAAGUAUGAAGUUACAUUAA